CCCGGCGGCUUCCUAAUACAUGCAAGUCGAGCGAAUGGAUUAAGAGCUUGCUCUUAUGAAGUUAGCGGCGGACGGGUGAGUAACACGUGGGUAACCUGCCCAUAAGACUGGGAUAACUCCGGGAAACCGGGGCUAAUACCGGAUAACAUUUUGAACCGCAUGGUUCGAAAUUGAAAGGCGGCUUCGGCUGUCACUUAUGGAUGGACCCGCGUCGCAUUAGCUAGUUGGUGAGGUAACGGCUCACCAAGGCAACGAUGCGUAGCCGACCUGAGAGGGUGAUCGGCCACACUGGGACUGACACACGGCCCACACUCCUACGGGAGGCAUCAGUAGGGAAUCUUCCGCAAUGGACGAAAGUCUGACGGACCAGGUCCGCGUGAGUGAUGGAAGGCUUUCGGGUCGUAAAACUCUGUUGUUAGGGAAAACCAAGUGCUAGUUGAAUAAGCUGGCACCUUGACGGUACCCAACCUGAAAGGGGUGGCAAGAGACGUGCCAGCCGCGGCGGUGUUACGUACGUGGCUAGCAUUAUCCCGAAUUGUUGGGCGUAUAGCGCGGGCACGUGGUUUCUCAAGUCUGAUGUGACAGCCCGCGGCUCAUCCGUGGGCGGUCUGUGGAAACUGUGAGACUUGACUGCAGAGGACGAAAGUGGAAUUCCAUGUGUAGCGGUGAAUUGCGUAGAGAUAUGGAGGAGCACCAGUGGCGAAUGCGACCUUCUGGUCUGUAACUGACAUUGAAGCUCGAAACCGUGAGGACCACAUCGGAUUAGGUGCUCCGGUAAUCCACGCCGUAAUCGAUCAGUGCUAAGUGUUAUAGGGUUUCCGCCCUUGACUGCAGAUUUCACGUUUUCAAGCAAUCCCCCCGGGGGAAUACCGCGGCCAUGCCAAAACUCAAAGAAAUCACCGGGGCCCGCCUUAACCGUGGAAACAUGUGGGUUAAAUUCCUAGCCACCGCGAAUAACCUACCCGGUCUUGACUUCUUUUGACAACCCUUUAGAUGGGGUUUCCCUUCGGG
This 1011-nucleotide ribosomal RNA is filed under the name Bacillus thuringiensis. RNAcentral's name for it is "bacterial SSU rRNA". It matches the Rfam family "Bacterial small subunit ribosomal RNA", at positions 35 to 1024 of the family's 1533-position model. The record is from RNAcentral. Lineage: Bacteria; Bacillati; Bacillota; Bacilli; Caryophanales; Bacillaceae.